This is a long non-coding RNA of Monodelphis domestica (gray short-tailed opossum), 591 nucleotides long. RefSeq lists it as uncharacterized. NCBI's taxonomy places the organism in Eukaryota, Metazoa, Chordata, Mammalia, Didelphimorphia, Didelphidae. The record is from RefSeq and is a predicted model, not a curated record.
UCAAGUUCUGACAGUUGGUUAUUAAGCUCUGAGUCUCUCUCUGACUUCUGGUGCAGACAGACUCAUUUCAGACUUUCAGAUCAGAUCAAAGGAGAGACAGAAAUCAAACCCAUCUUAAAAGUUUCUGCUUUCCUGACUGUGAGAAAUCAUCAUGGAGAAGAAGCUGUCAAAUCUGUUGUGUUGGAGAGCUGUUUCAGAGGAGAAAGACAGAAGGAGCUACUCAAUUGGAACACCAUCUUAGAGGGCUACCUGGGCCACUGCUAAGGAUUCAGAAAUGAAAUUUUGGAAGACCAACAUGUUACAGUCACAUUGCCAUUGGUUGUUUGAUAGGUCAGCAUCCAAAUGUGGCAGAGUUAAGGCAAUGAACAUCAUUGGUAGGAUGGUCGUCAUAGCAUUGGUGCUAAGGUUCACAAUCUGCUUGAAAAGAGAGAAAAGGAGGGAAUAGUUGGUGAAUGACAUUUAUUUCUAAAAAAUAAAGACAAUAAUGAAUACUGUACCUUUAUGAACCUUUAUGUGUUAUAAGUCAUUCAGGUAGAUAUAAGUUGCAUUUUUGUGCCUUGGAAAUGUUUUUUCAAUAAAAACUUUGUUAAU